AUUCUUUUAGUACAAACAGUACACCUGACUUCCAAUCAGGAGAUUUUAGACCGACCUAAAAAAGAAUA
This 68-nucleotide transfer RNA is filed under the name Dendrohyrax dorsalis (Western tree hyrax). RNAcentral describes it as "tRNA-Gly". It matches the Rfam family "tRNA". Rfam says of the family: Transfer RNA (tRNA) molecules are approximately 80 nucleotides in length. Their secondary structure includes four short double-helical elements and three loops (D, anti-codon, and T loops). Lineage: Eukaryota; Metazoa; Chordata; Mammalia; Hyracoidea; Procaviidae. The record is from RNAcentral.